Molecule: transfer RNA, 58 nt
Filed under: Loxodonta africana (African savanna elephant)
Lineage: Eukaryota; Metazoa; Chordata; Mammalia; Proboscidea; Elephantidae
Source: Rfam by way of RNAcentral
GUGGUUCAGUGGUAGAAUUCUUGACUUCCACAUGGGAAUCCCAGGUUCGAUUCCUGGC